This 961-nucleotide unclassified non-coding RNA is filed under the name Hevea brasiliensis (rubber tree). The record is from RNAcentral. Lineage: Eukaryota; Viridiplantae; Streptophyta; Magnoliopsida; Malpighiales; Euphorbiaceae.
UGUUACGUGAAAUUUUGCAAUUAUAUGUGUGUAUUGUUUGUCGGAGUAGGUGAGCUAUAGGUGUACAGAGAGUUAAAAGUUAUGCUUGUGCGUUCAUUUUGCUGCGUACCCUUCUUGUUAUGCUGGGGAUUCUAUUGAUGGAAGUGGUUUUAGAGGAGGGGGACCCUAUUCAGAGGAUAAACACAGGUUAUUUUUGUUUUUGCUAUCUGAAAGCAGGCUCACAUGGCUUCUUAUAGGUGGUUUAGUUGUGCCUUUUUUGCUGCUAUUAUGUACUUAUAUUUGAUACGCUUCUCUUAUCUGCUGCUUGAUUUUGCGAUGAAUAUAGUCUAAAUUACUUUCAGUAUGUCUGGUUUCUGGAAGGUGGAAGCAGAAGUAUUAAAUUUCUAAGGAAAAAAAAAAGGCAAAAUGCCUAUUUUGGCUCUUAAAUAUGGCCGAUAGUCAUAUAAGCUUUUAAAGCCUUCAAAUUUUAAAAAGAUCAAAUAAGUCAUUCAGAUUUUAAAAAUAGAUUAAAUAGGCCCUUUUUUUGGAAAAAUAAGCCCUUUAAAGAUAAAAGAAGACUGAAACUAUAAUUUGCUUCUAAAUAUAAAUCUAGCCAAGGCUGUGCAUGGAGGUUUUCUAGCGCACGGGUCCUCAUUAGCAAUUCUGUGUAUCUGAUUCGCACCGUUUUAUCUGCUGCAUCCUGGAGCUUGAUAAGUUGUUAAACUAUGACGAAGGUGGUGAACUUAUAGAGAAGUUUCUUGAAUCAUUUUGCAAAGAACAACUUAUUAAUUUUCUUUAGGAUGCAGCAUAUACUUAGUGGAUCAGAUACACAGGAUUACCGAUGAGGACCCGUGCACUAGAAAGCUUGAUUUAUGUUAAAAGCAAAUUAUAGGUCAGUCUUUUUUGAUCUAUUAAAAGUUAAAGGAUUGACUUGUCACCAAAGGCUUAUUUGAUCCAUUUUUAAAAAUUUAAGAGAUUUAUU